UUGCAAAACAGUACAAAACCCACCAACUUUUUGGCCGAAGACUCCUGAAUACUUUAUGUGCUCCCUGGAACUUGGCUUCUGCAGGACUCUUUAAAAUCGGAUAGUCCUGACUAACUGCAUUCUGUGCCUGAAGAACAGCUCUGACUGAAGGGAAGUGUUAAUGCAGUGAUAGAUGACUAGAACAUCUGUUAUCAACUUAUAUGAAUUUGAAAUCAUGACUUCUGUUGGAGAUAUUCUUUAUCCUAUUUUCCUUCUUUAAUAAUAUAUUUGGAACCAUCAUGAGGCCAAAUUGUGAAGCAGAACUAAUGUGAUAAAGACUUCCUGGACUUCCCUGCCUUAUAUGAUGGUUGUAGUUCAUCCUAUAGAAUAUGUUAUUCUCAGCGGUGUUUGGAUUCUUAGAUGAGAUUUGCCAGACUGGGAACUAAAGCACUUAGAACACUUUGGCAAGGCUUUGGAGCUGGAUUUCACUGUGCAACUGUGAAGCUGUUCUUGCAAAGGUUUGACAGGAAGAGACUUCAGUGCUGAGCCAGAAAAUAAGUGCAUCCAAAGAAGAGCUGACCCAUUAUUCAAGCAUCUCCAGUCUUCUUUGCUACAAAGAAGAUACUACACACCUGCUGCUACAGUUGUCUCUGGUUAAAAAACUCUUCCCUUCAAUUUAGGAAGCCUGACCAAGAGAUAAAUUAUUUCUCCUUGUCAAUGAACACACAUUUUUUAUUUGCUUAAUCCGAUACAAUUUCUUUCUCCUCAUCUCAUUUUUGAUUUUCCUUUCUUGGAGAAAAAUGAGAGAGGAAAAUGAGGUUUAGAUUAAGUAAACAGAUGCCAAACAUUUUGUGAGGCUGUUAUACAUUAGAUGUCCCAGCUACAACCUUUAUCUGUCUUUAUAACAUUGUAUUCAUGUGAAUAUUGAGUUACAUGGAUUCAUUUUGUAUGCCAUCGUAAAGCUGCAUCUUGAAGUCCUCUUCUCUUGGGAGAUCUUUGUGCAAUUUCCUUAUCAAUGUACAGCACUACUGAAAUAACUAUUUUAGGUGUUCUCUCAUGGACAGAUGACCCAGGACAGACACAGUCAUCUCACUGUGCUUUGUGUGAUUCAUCUGCAGUUCAAUUCUUUGGAGUUUCAGCUCUUAGCACAAUACCACUUCCUGUUUUUGAGAGGAGAAAUGGCAUAAAAAAUCACAUAAAAAGUCUUAUGAGGCCCUUGGACAUCAAAUAACUCUUGCAAAACAAAAUUUUAAUAAAUUAAGUGUAAAUGAAUCAGAAACAUGUGGGUUGAAUUUCCCUGGAAAUACCCAAGGGCUUAAAAAUUAAAAAAAAAAUUAAAAAGAAUUGCUUGGCAAAGAAUCUUGUGCAUUUUACUGAGCUCAAGCCUUUUGAAAAAGAGCAAAAGAAAACAGCCUUGAUUUGGUUGACUGAAUUAAGAAAACACUCCUGUACCCUUUAUUUAUUUUUAAUUCUACAAAAGUCAGAUUGAAGGUAUAAUUACGUUUCUUUUUGGGUGCCAAAUACAUCGAUGUUAGAGCAUUUUUCAAGUACAGUAACAUUUUGACUAACCAGAACCUCAAGUCAUGGUUGUCUUUUCAAAGGCAAUAGUGGCAGGCAAAGAAAAACUAAAAACUGUAGUUCAAGUAAAGGUCAUUAGAGCUGAGGUAAAGAAAACAUGGUGAUCAUUCAGUUCACUAACCAAGAGGAUCCUAACUGUAAAGGAACCCUGAGCCUUGGUAGUUAGCCACUGAACAAAGCACAAAAAGCAGUCAUGUGAAGACCAAAGCUCAGAAUGUAAGGAAAGUUGAAAUAAGUGGAAAAAUCUGUCUACUGAACGGAAGCUCUGGAAUAAAAGGAAAUGGCUGACCAAGGAAAAUAAAAGUUGCAAGAACUGAAAAAUUUAAAUAGCAGCUAGCAAUGGCCAAAAUGAAGCACAGGCAUAGGGAUUUGAAGGUUGGACACAGAAAAGCAAAACAAAGACCAAUAUUCACACCCCAAACCGUACUGUGAACACAAAG
Molecule: long non-coding RNA, 1997 nt
Organism: Heterocephalus glaber (naked mole-rat)
Lineage: Eukaryota; Metazoa; Chordata; Mammalia; Rodentia; Bathyergidae
Source: Ensembl